AUGGUGGGCGGUGAAACAGAGA
RNAcentral lists this non-coding RNA (22 nucleotides) under Mus musculus (house mouse). Lineage: Eukaryota; Metazoa; Chordata; Mammalia; Rodentia; Muridae. The record is from miRBase by way of RNAcentral.